CCUACGUGAGGCAGCAGUGGGGGAUAUUGGACAAUGGGGGGAACCCUGAUCCAGCGACGCCGCGUGAGUGAAGAAGUAUUUCGGUAUGUAAAGCUCUGUCAGCAGGGAAGAAAGAAAUGACGGUACCUGACCAAGAAGCCCCGGCUAACUACGUGCCAGCAGCCGCGGUAAUACGUAUGGGGCAGGCGUUAUCCGGAAUUACUGUGUGUAAAGGGCGCGUAGACGGUGAAGUAAGUCUGGAGUGAAAGGCCGGGGCCCAACCCCGGGACUGCUCUGGAAACUAUUGAACUUGAGUGCAGGAGAGGUAAGCGGAAUUCCUAGUGUCGCGGUGAAAUGCGUAGAUAUUAGGAGGAACCCCAGUGGCGAAGGCGGCUUACUGGACUGUAACUGACGUUGAGGCUCGAAAGCGUGGGGAGCAAACAGGAUUAGAUACCCGAGUAGUC
This 443-nucleotide ribosomal RNA is filed under the name uncultured bacterium. RNAcentral's name for it is "partial 16S ribosomal RNA". It matches the Rfam family "Bacterial small subunit ribosomal RNA", at positions 338 to 795 of the family's 1533-position model. The record is from RNAcentral.